GGAAGGUCUAGGCUGAAUUGGGGUAUUGGAGAGUAUUACUCACAUUGAUGUACAUGUAUAAUUAUGGUACAGGGUACACCGACUUGUCAGCUGUGACGCACACCAUGUCCUAGACAGUGACUCUACAAUGGCGUACUCCUGAAUGGUGUUCAAGAGGUAAGGGACAUUCAACUACUGGAAAGCCUGGGCGCAGUAAAUAUCUAUCAUCGUAAACCAGAUCGUACCUGUCAGCUAUGAAGCACACAACAUCCUAAGAAUUGACUCUUUCAUGGUGUCCUUCUGAAAGUUUUCGUCAGAAUUGGUU
RNAcentral lists this long non-coding RNA (304 nucleotides) under Mizuhopecten yessoensis (Yesso scallop). Its description in RNAcentral is "uncharacterized LOC110462028, transcript variant X2". The record is from RNAcentral. Lineage: Eukaryota; Metazoa; Mollusca; Bivalvia; Pectinida; Pectinidae.